This 301-nucleotide ribosomal RNA is filed under the name uncultured bacterium. Its description in RNAcentral is "partial 16S ribosomal RNA". It matches the Rfam family "Bacterial small subunit ribosomal RNA", at positions 509 to 807 of the family's 1533-position model. The record is from RNAcentral.
CAGUCGCCGCGGUAAUACAGAGGGUGCGAGCGUUAAUCGGAUUUACUGGGCGUAAAGCGUGCGUAGGCGGCUUUUUAAGUCGGAUGUUAAAUCCCUGAGCUUAACUUAGGAAUUGCAUUCGAUACUGGGAAGCUAGAGUAUGGGAGAGGAUGGUAGAAUUCCAGGUGUAGCGGUGAAAUGCGUAUAGAUCUGGAGGAAUACCGAUGGCGAAGGCAGCCAUCUGGCCUAAUACUGACGCUUAGGUACGAAAGCAUGGGGAGCAAACAGGAUUAGAUACCCCCGUAGUCCCUGUCUCUUAUAC